This is a non-coding RNA of Homo sapiens (human), 148 nucleotides long. It matches the Rfam family "Metazoan signal recognition particle RNA". Rfam says of the family: The signal recognition particle (SRP) is a universally conserved ribonucleoprotein. It is involved in the co-translational targeting of proteins to membranes. NCBI's taxonomy places the organism in Eukaryota, Metazoa, Chordata, Mammalia, Primates, Hominidae. The record is from Rfam.
GCCGGGCAUGGUGGUGCAUGCCUGUAAUCCCAGCUACUCAGGAGGCUGAGGCGGGAGAAUCACUUGAACCCAGGAGGUAGAGGUUGCAGUGAGCUGAGUUCGCACCACUGUACUCCAGCCUGGGCGACAGAGCGAGACUCCGUCUCAA